This 482-nucleotide ribosomal RNA is filed under the name uncultured bacterium. RNAcentral describes it as "bacterial SSU rRNA". It matches the Rfam family "Bacterial small subunit ribosomal RNA", at positions 30 to 507 of the family's 1533-position model. The record is from RNAcentral. RNAcentral also lists the same sequence under 1 other name.
AUUGAACGCUGGCGGCAUGCCUUACACAUGCAAGUCGAACGGCAGCGGGCCUUCGGGUGCCGGCGAGUGGCGAACGGGUGAGUAAUGCAUCGGAACGUGCCAUUGAGUGGGGGAUAACGUAGCGAAAGUUGCGCUAAUACCGCAUAUUCUGUGAGCAGGAAAGCAGGGGACCGCAAGGCCUUGCGCUCUUUGAGCGGCCGAUGUCAGAUUAGCUAGUUGGUGAGGUAAAGGCUUACCAAGGCGACGAUCUGUAGCGGGUCUGAGAGGAUGAUCCGCCACACUGGAACUGAGACACGGUCCAGACUCCUACGGGAGGCAGCAGUGGGGAAUUUUGGACAAUGGGGGCAACCCUGAUCCAGCCAUGCCGCGUGAGUGAAGAAGGCCUUCGGGUUGUAAAGCUCUUUCGGCCGGGAAGAAAUCGCAUGGGUGAAUACCCUGUGUGGAUGACGGUACCGGAACAAGAAGCACCGGCUAACUACGUG